This 76-nucleotide transfer RNA is filed under the name Acentrogobius caninus (tropical sand goby). Its description in RNAcentral is "tRNA-Leu". It matches the Rfam family "tRNA". From Rfam's summary of the family: Transfer RNA (tRNA) molecules are approximately 80 nucleotides in length. Their secondary structure includes four short double-helical elements and three loops (D, anti-codon, and T loops). Lineage: Eukaryota; Metazoa; Chordata; Actinopteri; Gobiiformes; Gobiidae. RNAcentral also lists the same sequence under 1 other name. The record is from RNAcentral.
GUCAAGGUGGCAGAGCUCGGACAUAAUGCAAAAGGCCUAAGCCCUUUCAACAGAGGUUCAAAUCCUCUCCUUAACU